GCCGAGCGGUAGAGAUCUUUCGGGAUCUUGAGAGCGGCGUACGGGUGCGGAACACGUGUGCAACCUGCCUUUAUCAGGGGGAUAGCCUUUCGAAAGGAAGAUUAAUACCCCAUAAUAUAUUGAGUGGCAUCACUUAAUAUUGAAAACUCCGGUGGAUAGAGAUGGGCACGCGCAAGAUUAGAUAGUUGGUGAGGUAACGGCUCACCAAGUCUGCGAUCUUUAGGGGGCCUGAGAGGGUGAUCCCCCACACUGGUACUGAGACACGGACCAGACUCCUACGGGAGGCAGCAGUGAGGAAUAUUGGACAAUGGGUGCGAGCCUGAUCCAGCCAUCCCGCGUGAAGGACGACGGCCCUAUGGGUUGUAAACUUCUUUUGUAUAGGGAUAAACCUACUCUCGUGAGAGUAGCUGAAGGUACUAUACGAAUAAGCACCGGCUAACUCCGUGCCAGCAGCCGCGGUAAUACGGAGGGUGCAAGCGUUAUCCGGAUUUAUUGGGUUUAAAGGGUCCGUAGGCGGAUCUGUAAGUCAGUGGUGAAAUCUCACAGCUUAACUGUGAAACUGCCAUUGAUACUGCAGGUCUUGAGUGUUGUUGAAGUAGCUGGAAUAAGUAGUGUAGCGGUGAAAUGCAUAGAUAUUACUUAGAACACCAAUUGCGAAGGCAGGUUACUAAGCAACAACUGACGCUGAUGGACGAAAGCGUGGGGAGCGAACAGGAUUAGAUACCCUGGUAGUCCACGCCGUAACGAUGCUAACUCGUUUUUGGGUUUUCGGAUUCAGAGACUAAGCGAAAGUGAUAAGUUAGCCACCUGGGGAGUACGAACGCAAGUUUGAAACUCAAAGGAAUUGACGGGGGCCCGCACAAGCGGUGGAUUAUGUGGUUUAAUUCGAUGAUACGCGAGGAACCUUACCAAGGCUUAAAUGGGAAAUGACAGGCUUAGAAAUAGGCUUUUCUUCGGACAUUUUUCAAGGUGCUGCAUGGUUGUCGUCAGCUCGUGCCGUGAGGUGUUAGGUUAAGUCCUGCAACGAGCGCAACCCCUGUCACUAGUUGCCAUCAUUAAGUUGGGGACUCUAGUGAGACUGCCUACGCAAGUAGAGAGGAAGGUGGGGAUGACGUCAAAUCAUCACGGCCCUUACGCCUUGGGCCACACACGUAAUACAAUGGCCGGUACAGAGGGCAGCUACACUGCGAAGUGAUGCAAAUCUCGAAAGCCGGUCUCAGUUCGGAUUGGAGUCUGCAACUCGACUCUAUGAAGCUGGAAUCGCUAGUAAUCGCGCAUCAGCCAUGGCGCGGUGAAUACGUUCCCGGGCCUUGUACACACCGCCCGUCAAGCCAUGGAAGUCUGGGGUAC
This 1350-nucleotide ribosomal RNA is filed under the name bacterium W33. Its description in RNAcentral is "bacterial SSU rRNA". It matches the Rfam family "Bacterial small subunit ribosomal RNA", at positions 61 to 1420 of the family's 1533-position model. The record is from RNAcentral.